GGAACUCUCUCCAGUUUUAAUCGAGAGUGUGUGCAUUGUGGAUUAUUUCAGACCUGAAGGCUUCUUCUUCUGGGAAGGAGAGAUCCUGCACACUGAGCUUGUUAGAGGACACAGCUGCCACAAUGCAGUCCCUGAGCUAGGGGGAUCAUGAGGACCACCUGGACACUCAACAGUCUGCAGCCUCACCUGCGUGAGAGGUCAUUCUGAACAGCAGGUUCUUACAUCAUUAAGAGGGAGGAAUGAUGCAAGGGAGAAAAAAAUAGACCAU
Molecule: long non-coding RNA, 268 nt
Filed under: Lepisosteus oculatus (spotted gar)
Lineage: Eukaryota; Metazoa; Chordata; Actinopteri; Semionotiformes; Lepisosteidae
Description: lncRNA (ENSLOCG00000021089.1)
Source: RNAcentral